Molecule: ribosomal RNA, 495 nt
Filed under: uncultured Proteiniphilum sp.
Lineage: Bacteria; Pseudomonadati; Bacteroidota; Bacteroidia; Bacteroidales; Dysgonomonadaceae
Description: bacterial SSU rRNA
Rfam family: Bacterial small subunit ribosomal RNA
Source: RNAcentral
CCCGCUCAGAAACUUAAAGGAAUUGACGGGGGCCCGCACAAGCGGUGGAGCAUGUGGUUUAAUUCGAUGAUACGCGAGGAACCUUUACCUGGGCUCAAAUGUAUGUUGACGUAUUCUGAAAGAGGCACUCCCUUCGGGGCAGAUGUGUAGGUGCUGCAUGGUUGUCGUCAGCUCGUGCCGUGAGGUGUCGGCUUAAGUGCCAUAACGAGCGCAACCCUCAUCAUUAGUUACCAUCAGGUAAGGCUGGGGACUCUAAUGAGACUGCCAUCGUAAGAUGUGAGGAAGGUGGGGAUGACGUCAAAUCAGCACGGCCCUUACGUCCGGGGCGACACACGUGUUACAAUGGGUGGUACAAAGGGCAGCUACCUGGCGACAGGAUGCUAAUCUCGAAAACCGCUCUCAGUUCGGAUCGGAGUCUGCAACUCGACUCCGUGAAGCUGGAUUCGCUAGUAAUCGCGCAUCAGCCACGGCGCGGUGAAUACGUUCCCGGGCCUU